This 1417-nucleotide ribosomal RNA is filed under the name Fejervarya iskandari. RNAcentral's name for it is "partial 16S rRNA". It matches the Rfam family "Bacterial large subunit ribosomal RNA", at positions 168 to 2594 of the family's 2925-position model. Lineage: Eukaryota; Metazoa; Chordata; Amphibia; Anura; Dicroglossidae. The record is from RNAcentral.
CCCAAAACCAAGCCUAAUCUUACCUGCAUACACCCUAUACCCACCCACACAAUGAAUUGAUAAAACAUUUUAACUAUUUAGUAGAGGUGAUCAAAAAAUAAAUUAGAGCCUCAUAAGAAGUACCGCAAGGGAAUGGUGAAAUAAAUAUGAAAUAGCUUUAAAGCGUACUAUAGCAGAGUAAUCCCCUCGUACCUUUUGCAUCAUGGUUUAGCCAUCUUUAUCAAGCAAAGCGAGACACAAGUUUGAUCCCCCGAAAUUGGGCGAGCUACUUCGAAACAGCUUUUAGAGCCAACCCGUCUCUGUUGCAAAAGAGUGGGAUGAUUUCCAAGUAGUGGUGAUAAGCCUAUCGAGCCCAGAGAUAGCUGGUUAUUCAGAAAAAGAAUAUUAGUUCUACCUUAAGCUUAAUAAUUAUAACAAAAAUAACUGUAAACUUAAGAGUUAUUCAAAUAAGGCACAGCUUGUUUGAAAAAGGACACAACCUAGAAUAAUGGGUAAGUAACCCCCUAUACGACGCUAAGUGGGCCUGAAAGCAGCCACCUUUAAAAAAGCGUUAAAGCUUAGUUCUUCUUCCAAUUUAUAAUCCCUUCAUUAUAUACGAACCCUCAACCAAAACUGAAUAAUCCUAUAAUUAUAUAGGAGAUAUAAUGCUAAAACUAGUAACAAGAAGAAGACCUUCUCCAAAAUGCAAGCAAAACCCAACUUAGACUAACUAUUGGCUAUUAACGCCUAUGACCUUAAUAUAGUAACUGACCCUAGCAAACCCUAUACACUACGACGUUAACCUUACACAAGAGCAUUCCUGGAAAGAUUAAAAGAAAAAGAAGGAACUCGGCAAAUUCAGGCCUCGCCUGUUUACCAAAAACAUCGCCUCUUGUUUUUUCAUAAGAGGUCCAGCCUGCCCAGUGACACAAUUAAACGGCCGCGGUACCCUGACCGUGCGAAGGUAGCAUAAUAACUUGUUCUUUAAAUGGGGACUAGCAUGAACGGCACCACGAAGGCCUCACUGUCUCCUUUUUCCAAUCAGUGAAACUGAUCUCCCCGUGAAGAAGCGGGGAUAAUAAUAUAAGACGAGAAGACCCCAUGGAGCUUUAAACCCAAUGAGCAACCCUAAUCAACACAACUCAUCUAAAUUCUUUCUCCCCUGCUUUUUGGUUUUAGGUUGGGGUGACCACGGAGUAAAACAUAUCCUCCACGACGUACGGGAUUAACCCUUAUCCAAGAGCCACCGCUCUAAGAAUCGACAAAUUGACGUUUUUUGAUCCAAUAUAUUGAUCAACGAACCAAGUUACCCUGGGGAUAACAGCGCAAUCCAUUUUUAGAGCCCCUAUCGACGAAUGGGUUUACGACCUCGAUGUUGGAUCAGGGUACCCAAGUGGUGCAGCCGCUACUAAUGGUUUGUUUGUUCAACAAUUAAAAC